Long non-coding RNA from Homarus americanus (American lobster), 2980 nucleotides. RefSeq lists it as uncharacterized. The transcript has 6 exons. The record is from RefSeq and is a predicted model, not a curated record. NCBI's taxonomy places the organism in Eukaryota, Metazoa, Arthropoda, Malacostraca, Decapoda, Nephropidae.
AGCAAGCUUCUUCAGUCGACAGCACAUACAUCUCGGGAGCGGACGGGUUAUAUAUUUGUGCGACUACUUUGUGCUUUUUUGUUGAUAACCGCUGGAAUUACGAGCUGUCUACACUCUCAGUUAACGACCAAGCAAAUAAACAGAGGUUAUGAAAGAUUGGCGCAUGCGUACUAAGCCUCUUAAUGUCUUGUGUCGGCUACCGGAUGUAAGGCUAUCGCAGUUGAAGCGAUCAUCUCUUGAGCAUAUACACGGCUUCCCAGAACUGAGCAUCUGCUGAGUUGAACACCUACAGAGCGCCACCAUCAUUAUGUCGCUGGUCACAGUUUUGGGCAGUAUGGGUACCGGGGGCAGGGUUCCUGGCAAGGGCAAUGUAUACGGAUUUGGGGGAAUUCCACCGUCUUUGAAGGAGAAAAAACUAAAGGAAGCAAAGAUUCAGAACGCUGUGGCCAAGGCGAGAGUCACUACCCCUGAGACACACAACGAACCUAAAAAGAAAGAGGAGAGUAAAUGAGAGAACGUGGAGAUGAAGAAAUGCUGUUGGUGAGGUUCUUCGUGCCUGGAGCAGCCUAGACGGAGGCUGACCGUUUUUAUAUCUGAAGGAGGAGCCGCCCCUGCUGGAGCCCUACUCGCACAAAGGCCAACAGAGGGCUUGGUAGUGGGCGGCUUCCUGCCACUUAGGUGUUCUUUGCUGACUGGCUUACUCAAGGGCGUCGUCGUCUGUCAGGGCCCCAGAGCGCUCUGCUCCCCUGUAGGGCCAUCUGGACACUGAGCUAGUAGCUCUCUGAGAGUCGUGAACAAGUAGUUCACAUCUCUCCUAGGGCUCUUGAACAUGUAGUUCGCAGCUCUUCCAGGGCUCGUGGACGGGGAGUUCACAGCUCUCUAGGGUCACUUGUGGCUGAGACUGACGUCGAUCUCCUGCCCAUAUUCUGAUGAGGACGAAACCCACCAUUGACGUAAUGUUUGUUAUGCUGUGUGCUGAGACACACAUUGUCCAUCUAAAACUGUAUGAAAGUUAUUAUUUAGAAGAGUUAUUACUCAACUAUAAGACUUCAUUUAACCCACCUAAGGGAAGAUCAUCACCUACAGACUAGUUGAAGGUCAACAAUAUGUUCACCUUCGACGAGCGCCAAGGUGUUUCCAAAGGGCGUCCUCUCAGGAUCCGGGCGCCUUUUUAAACUUUUAAAUUCCAUCCUUUUUCAUUAAUCAAAACACGCGCGCAAGUAUCACCACCUCCGCUUUGUACAUAACGCAGCAUGAAGCAUUUCAAGCGAAUAUAUGCUGUAGCUUCCUGACGAGAGAUAACUAAUGCCUUCGUACAUGUCUCAAUAUUCACUAGACCGAGGUCAGAGGUCACCGAACCCUUGGUCAGGCUGAGUGGCUGCUGUCACUCGGCCAACUAGAGUGGCUGUUGUCACUCAGCCCAGUAGAGUGGAUGCUAUCACUGGGCCAAGAGAAGUGAUCCUCUCGGCCAGAAUGCGUGAAUCUCGUCCAGAGAAGAUUUGGGUGCACAAAUUUCACUUUCAUUUGGCUUGGCAUUGCUCAAAACCUGCAACGACGUCGCUCUGUAAACGACAAAAAUGAAGAAAAAACUAUAUACCGGUAUACAUAAAGAAAUUUUGUCGACGACUGCUGUUGAGGCGACGCUGUCAAAGGUGUCCGCUGUCAACCUCUCGUAUGGUGCCUCGUGAUUAUCCCCCAUAGAAUUUUCUUGUCAAAUCUUAAUAAACUAUUUUUUUGUGUAUCUAGCGGAGAUCUGACCAACCAUAUGUUCAUUAUUUUUCCAAAGGCUUCGGAGAGGAUUCUUGAAGGUGAAGCUCUCCUGAGGGACCAGUUUGUAUGGCAUUAUGGCAGAAGGAAUUUAUACAUAUAUAUUUUCACUUAGAAACAAUGUAGUGUGUGACUGGCGAUGAUGUAGAGAACAUGUAAUUUUCUAUCGUGGAGUGAAUAAAGUAACGUUAUUAUGAUUUACUCGUUAAUGGAGGAUUUAGGCGAAGACAAAUCAAACGGCCCAUUAUUUCCUCACAUGCGUUCUCCCUGUGGUUCUUAUCAGUCUGUUGACCUCACACAAUCAAUACAGGAUCGACGUGGAUUCCUAAUGACAUGUUUACCCCUUAAUUAUAUAUAUAAAGAUGUAUUAAGAUUUAUAUUAAGAAAAUGCUAUUGUAAGAAAAUCCUUUGUAUAGCAGUAAAAGGCCUAGGGAAGUCCAUUAUCUACAACCCCUCUGUUCUUAGCCUUAUCGUUUAUCAUUAUUGUAAAUAACUGUGGUGUUCAGGGAUGUGGUGUAGCCUGCCAGGGUCACUCAGUACUAAUCCUAAAGGGUACCGGGGAAUCUUAAAAGGAUCUAAGGUCAUCAUUUAAGGUCCUACCCUCAAAUUAUCGCCAGUACUUUGAUAAACGUAAACUGUAAAAAGAGUCAUCAUAACACGGACUGGGUGGAGACAGAGGGGGAUGGUGGCGAUGGUUCCUUCUUAUAGAGUGACAUGUCAGGCGAGACUUAAGGGUCAGAUCUCAGAGUUUUCCUAAUAUUUAUUUGCAAAAGGAGACAGACAAUUACAUGACCCCCUUCCCGGAUAGUCUCUCAGCUUGAAGACGAUGGAGCACAGCUUUGUAUCACUGAAAAAGCUUAAAGCUGUUUCUUGGUGCCACAAAAAAUGCUCAAGUUUCUUAAUGCGGUUUAGAUGACAUGGAAGAGUCUUAGGUUACUCGGGUCAAAGGGAGGAAAAAAAAUAUUGUGUGUGUUUGUGUGUGUAGACUCCUGGUGCCGUCACAGAAGAGGCUACGGAGACUCACAGACCUACCGCGCUGAGCCAGACUCAUUGAUGUGCUGAGGCGUUCGUGUGUCCCUCACCCGUACUCAUCAAUUCAUUCAGGUUAUCAAUGGUGUUACCCCCUACCCCCCCCCCUUCCAUCCUUAAACCUCCCCACCUCCUUCCUUACACCCCCACCACCCCUUUCCUUACACCCUCACCCCCUUCCUUA